Molecule: ribosomal RNA, 301 nt
Filed under: uncultured bacterium
Lineage: Bacteria
Description: partial 16S ribosomal RNA
Rfam family: Bacterial small subunit ribosomal RNA
Source: RNAcentral
CAGUCGCCACGGGAAUACGAAGGGGGCUAGCGUUGCUCGGAAUUACUGGGCGUAAAGGGCGCGUAGGCGGACAGUUUAGUCGGGGGUGAAAGCCCGGGGCUCAACCUCGGAAUUGCCUUCGAUACUGGCUGUCUUGAGUGUGAGAGAGGUGUGUGGAACUCCGAGUGUAGAGGUGAAAUUCGUAGAUAUUCGGAAGAACACCAGUGGCGAAGGCGACGCACUGGCUCACUACUGACGCUGAGGCGCGAAAGCGUGGGGAGCAAACAGGAUUAGAUACCCGAGUAGUCCCUGUCUCUUAUAC